RNAcentral lists this ribosomal RNA (600 nucleotides) under uncultured bacterium. RNAcentral's name for it is "bacterial SSU rRNA". It matches the Rfam family "Bacterial small subunit ribosomal RNA", at positions 83 to 679 of the family's 1533-position model. The record is from RNAcentral.
CUCUCUGAUUCAGCGGCGGACGGGUGAGUAAUGCCUAGGAAUCUGCCUGAUAGUGGGGGACAACGUUUCGAAAGGAACGCUAAUACCGCAUACGUCCUACGGGAGAAAGCAGGGGACCUUCGGGCCUUGCGCUAUCAGAUGAGCCUAGGUCGGAUUAGCUAGUUGGUGAGGUAACGGCUCACCAAGGCGACGAUCCGUAACUGGUCUGAGAGGAUGAUCAGUCACACUGGAACUGAGACACGGUCCAGACUCCUACGGGAGGCAGCAGUGGGGAAUAUUGGACAAUGGGCGAAAGCCUGAUCUAGCCAUGCCGCGUGUGUGAAGAAGGUCUUCGGAUUGUAAAGCACUUUAAGUUGGGAGGAAGGGCAUUAACCUAAUACGUUAGUGUUUUGACGUUACCGACAGAAUAAGCACCGGCUAACUUCGUGCCAGCAGCCGCGGUAAUACGAAGGGUGCAAGCGUUAAUCGGAAUUACUGGGCGUAAAGCGCGCGUAGGUGGUUUGUUAAGUUGAAUGUGAAAGCCCCGGGCUCAACCUGGGAACUGCAUCCAAAACUGGCAAGCUAGAGUAUGGCAGAGGGUGGUGGAAUUUCCUGUGUGGC